GAGAGAGAGAGAGAGGGAGAAAACUCGAGUGGGGGGAGGGGCAGAGGAGAGGGAGAAGCAGAGACCCCCGGACCCCAGGACCCCAGGAUCAUGACCUGAGCCGAAGGCAGACACUUACCCGACUGAGCCACCCAGGUGCCCCUGUUUGCAUUUCUAACGAGAAAAAUUACUGUUUAUGAACUUGAAAGAGAAAAAUUACUGAGUCAGUUUUUCUCGCUCGAUUUCUGAACUUCCAUCACUCUGAGCAACUAAAUUGAACUUAAACUGCUGUAAAAAACCUGUUUCUAACAGUACCUGAACAGGGCUUUUUUAUUUGAUGCUUUUUAAAGAUAACAUAAUAACCUAGUUAAGAAUGACUAAUUUAACGCAGAAGACGAACUAUGCUUUACUUCAGCACAAUGCUACCAUCUCACGGCGCAGGUGACAUAACUGGUUGGCCCCUCCCGUCUCCUCCCUCAGGUGCUGGCGAGUCCUUCGAGUCCUUUGGUAACUCCUUCCAGGAACCUCAUCUGCUUUCUAGACCCCGAGCUUCCACUCUGUUAUUGCCUCCUCACUUGUGAUGCAGGCACCCCCCAUUCUGAUUCUGAACAAGGGUAUUGGCCAAUAUGACUUCUCUGCCCAGAUCGUACGUGAAUGAGGAGCGAUGACGAGGAAGAACAUCUCCAAACACACCCCAAACUGUCAUUGGAUUGUACGUGACCCCGUGGAAGAAAAUAGUUGCAGCUACAGUUCUGCAUGUUACUGGUUUGAGACCAGACCAAAGCGUCUUCCUUAGCUAUGCCCACAGGAAUAGUUAUAUGGGGAACUUAGAGAAGAAACAUCAAACAAAGAAGAAGGCUUGCAGCCAUAUUAAAGAAAAGUUGUCCUUGUCUUUAGCUGGAGGUGUCACGUUCUAAUUGUGUCCUUUUACUCUCAUUUUUAUACAUCCCCCUUUCUCUUGGAAAAUGACACUGUAGCCAUUGAUUUUAUUUUCAUCAACGGAGGUGAGCCAAACCAUAUGGUUUUCAAGGGGGUAAACAGACCAGACACAAGGGCUAAAAUGGAAUUAUGCAAUCAUGAGCAGGGGAAGAAAUGGGAGCAUUUC
This 1084-nucleotide long non-coding RNA is filed under the name Ursus maritimus (polar bear). RNAcentral describes it as "lncRNA (ENSUMAG00000022475.1)". The record is from RNAcentral. Lineage: Eukaryota; Metazoa; Chordata; Mammalia; Carnivora; Ursidae.